This 406-nucleotide ribosomal RNA is filed under the name uncultured bacterium. Its description in RNAcentral is "partial 16S ribosomal RNA". It matches the Rfam family "Bacterial small subunit ribosomal RNA", at positions 30 to 526 of the family's 1533-position model. The record is from RNAcentral.
AUUGAACGCUGGCGGCAAGCCUAACACAUGCAAGUCGAACGAGUGGCGGACGGGUGAGUAAUGUCUGGGAUACUGCCUGAUGGAGGGGGAUAACUACUGGAAACGGUAGCUAAUACCGCAUACCAUCGGAUGUGCCCAGAUUGGAUUAGCUAGUAGGUGGGGUAAAGGCUCACCUAGGCGACGAUCCCUAGCUGGUCUGAGAGGAUGACCCGCCACACGUGAACUGGGACACGGUGCAAACUCGUAACGGAGGCAGCAGUGGGGAUUAUUGGAGAAUGAGCGGUAGCCUAGUGCGGCCAUGGCGCGUGUCUGAAGAGGGGCUUCGGGUUGUAAAGUACUAUCAGCUGCGAGGCGUUACCCACAGAAGAAGCACCGGCUAACUCCGUGCCAGCAGCCGCGGUAAUUC